CCUACGGGCGGCAGCAGUGGGGAAUAUUGGACAAUGGGCGAAAGCCUGAUCCAGCCAUGCCGCGUGUGUGAAGAAGGCCUUCGGGUUGUAAAGCACUUUCAGUGGGGAAGAAAGCCUUGUGGCUAAUACCCUCGAUGAAGGACAUCACUCACAGAAGAAGCACCGGCUAACUCCGUGCCAGCAGCCGCGGUAAUACGGAGGGUGCGAGCGUUAAUCGGAAUUACUGGGCGUAAAGCGCGCGUAGGCGGUCUGAUAAGCCGGUUGUGAAAGCCCCGGGCUCAACCUGGGAACGGCAUCCCGAACUGUCAGGCUAGAGUGCAGGAGAGGAAGGUAGAAUUCCCGGGGUAGCGGUGAAAUGCGUAGAGAUCGGGAGGAAUACCAGUGGCGAAGGCGGCCUUCUGGACUGACACUGACGCUGAGGUGCGAAAGCGUGGGUAGCAAACAGGAUUAGAUACCCCAGUAGUC
RNAcentral lists this ribosomal RNA (465 nucleotides) under Vreelandella stevensii. RNAcentral's name for it is "partial 16S ribosomal RNA". It matches the Rfam family "Bacterial small subunit ribosomal RNA", at positions 338 to 795 of the family's 1533-position model. The record is from RNAcentral. Lineage: Bacteria; Pseudomonadati; Pseudomonadota; Gammaproteobacteria; Oceanospirillales; Halomonadaceae.